CUUGAUGCGACUAGCAAUGAGCCCUGGGGUCCCCAUGGAUCACUUCUUGCAGAUAUUGCUCAAGCUUCAAGAAACUCGCUUCAACUGUUUUGGAUUAUUUAGUAGCCAAUGUGUCUGAACGUGUCAUGGAUGAAAUAAGGGAACAUGCAUGCCAAAUAUCUACGUUGUCUGAUUUUCAAUACAUCGACUCUAGUGGAAAAGAUCAGGGGAGCAAUGUUAGAAAGAAAUCUCAGAGUCUUGUUGUUCUUGUAAAUGAUAAGGAGAGGAUACAAGAAGUCCACCAAAAGGCAGCUACGUACCAACCGGGAUAAGUAAGUCUACUUCAUCUGCACUACAUUCAUAUGUGUUCCUUGUACAUUGGUGAUAUA
Molecule: long non-coding RNA, 368 nt
Organism: Capsicum annuum
Lineage: Eukaryota; Viridiplantae; Streptophyta; Magnoliopsida; Solanales; Solanaceae
Exons: 3
Source: RefSeq, a predicted model, not a curated record